GUGGCCAAGUUUUUAAGGGCGCACGGUGGAUGCCUUGGUACCAGGAACCGAUGAAGGACGUGGGAGGCCGCGAUAGGCCCCGGGGAGCUGUCAACCGAGCUUUGAUCCGGGGGUGUCCGAAUGGGGAAACCCGGCAGUCGUCAUGGGCUGUCACCCGCUGCUGAAUGUAUAGGCAGUGUGGAGGGAACGCGGGGAAGUGAAACAUCUCAGUACCCGCAGGAAGAGAAAACAACCGUGAUUCCGGGAGUAGUGGCGAGCGAAACCGGAUGAGGCCAAACCGUAUGUGUGUGAUACCCGGCAGGGGUUGCAUGUACGGGGUUGUGGGAUUGCGCUUCAUGGUCUGCCGGCGGCUGGGUGAGUCAGAAACCGUCAUGAUAGGCGAAGGACAUGCGAAAGGUCCGGCGUAGAGGGUAAGACCCCCGUAGCUGAAACAUUGACGGCUCACUUGCGUUAUUCCCAAGUAGCACGGGGCCCGAGAAAUCCUGUGUGAAUCUGGCGGGACCACCCGCUAAGCCUAAAUAUUCCCUGGUGACCGAUAGCGGAUAGUACCGUGAGGGAAUGGUGAAAAGUACCGCGGGAGCGGAGUGAAAUAGUACCUGAAACCGUGUGCCUACAAGCCGUGGGAGCGUCGCGCAAGGACUUGUCCUUGCGUCGUGACUGCGUGCCUUUUGAAGAAUGAGCCUGCGAGUUUGCGGUGUGUUGCGAGGUUAACCCGUGUGGGGAAGCCGUAGCGAAAGCGAGUCCGAACAGGGCGCUGUAGUAGCACGCUCAAGACCCGAAGCGGAGUGAUCUAGCCAUGGGCAGGUUGAAGCGGCUGUAAGAGGUCGUGGAGGACCGAACCCACCAGGGUUGAAAACCUGGGGGAUGACCUGUGGUUAGGGGUGAAAGGCCAAUCAAACUCCGUGAUAGCUGGUUCUCCCCGAAAUGCAUUUAGGUGCAGCGUCGUGUGUUUCUUGCCGGAGGUAGAGCACUGGAUAGGCGAUGGGCCUUACCGGGUUACUGACCUUAGCCAAACUCCGAAUGCCGGUAAGUGAGAGCACGGCAGUGAGACUGUGGGGGAUAAGCUCCAUGGUCGAGAGGGAAACAGCCCAGAGCAUCGACUAAGGCCCCUAAGCGUACGCUAAGUGGGAAAGGAUGUGGAGUCGCAGAGACAACCAGGAGGUUGGCUUAGAAGCAGCCACCCUUGAAAGAGUGCGUAAUAGCUCACUGGUCUAGUGAUUCCGCGCCGACAAUGUAGCGGGGCUCAAGCGUACCGCCGAAGUCGUGUCAUUGCAGCAAUACUCCCAACGGAGGCUGUGAUGGGUAGGGGAGCGUCGUGUGCCGGGUGAAGCUGCCGCGUAAGCGAGUGGUGGACGGUUCACGAGUGAGAAUGCAGGCAUGAGUAGCGAUUCACACGUGAGAAACGUGUGCGCCGAUUGACUAAGGGUUCCUGGGUCAAGCUGAUCUGCCCAGGGUAAGUCGGGACCUAAGGCGAGGCCGACAGGCGUAGUCGAUGGAUAACCGGUUGAUAUUCCGGUACCCGCUGUGAAGCGUCAAACAUUGAAUCCAGUGAUGCUAAGCCCGUGAAGCCGCCCUGAUCUCUUCGGAGUUGAGGGGAGUGGUGGAGCCGGUGACCCAGGCUGGUAGUAGGUGAGUGAUGGGGUGACGCAGGAAGGUAGUCCAUCCCGGGCGGUGGUUGUCCCGGGGUAAGGGUGUAGGG
This 1699-nucleotide ribosomal RNA is filed under the name Streptomyces sp. DfronAA-171. Its description in RNAcentral is "bacterial LSU rRNA". It matches the Rfam family "Bacterial large subunit ribosomal RNA", at positions 1 to 1525 of the family's 2925-position model. The record is from RNAcentral. Lineage: Bacteria; Bacillati; Actinomycetota; Actinomycetes; Kitasatosporales; Streptomycetaceae.